UGUGACCCCUACUGUCCAGGGUGUUUCAAGGACCAUGGCUGCAAAGUUGCUUUACUGGCCUAUCCAGUGGCCCAUACCCAUGGGUCCACUCUAAUCACAUCUGAUGCUCCUUCUGCGCUCUCUCGUAGACUUCCCAGACAGACCUCGUGGUGUCGUCUCCUUCAGGAAGCUGUCACUGAGUCCCUUCUUUGGAAGCAAUAUCCUUCUGUUUCCACAGCACUUGACUUUGGCUCUGAUCUCAAGAUCACCAACUCUGCUAGG
RNAcentral lists this long non-coding RNA (261 nucleotides) under Homo sapiens (human). Its description in RNAcentral is "HSALNT0154574". The record is from RNAcentral. Lineage: Eukaryota; Metazoa; Chordata; Mammalia; Primates; Hominidae.